Molecule: long non-coding RNA, 416 nt
Filed under: Salmo salar (Atlantic salmon)
Lineage: Eukaryota; Metazoa; Chordata; Actinopteri; Salmoniformes; Salmonidae
Description: lncRNA (ENSSSAG00000090801.1)
Source: RNAcentral
GAGGUAGAUAUGUAUAGGGGUAAGGGGACAGGGAUACUGGAGUGAUGGAGGUAGAUGUGUAUAGGGGACAGGGAUACUGGAGUGAUGGAGGUAGAUGUGUAUAGGGAACAGGGAUACUGGAGUGAUGGAGGUAGAUAUGUAUAGGGGGAAGGGGACAGGGAUACUGGAGGGAUGGAGGUAGAUAUGUAUAGGGGGAAGGAGACUAUAUACAGGGUCAAUUCCAGUUUAUUUUUGUCACUGGAGGUUGGUGGCACCUUAAAUGGGGAGGACAUUCUCAUAGUAAUGGCUGGAACAGAAUAAAUGGAAUGGUAUCAAACACACAGUUUCUAUGGUUUCCAUGUGUUAUUACCACUCCAUACCAGACGUUAUUACGAGAGAGAGGGGAGGAAGAGGGGACAGAAGGGAGGAAGGAGAGA